CUUCUGAUUGGGAUCAGUUCAACCAGAUGACCUCCAAGAUUCUGUGUAAGAGGUCCCCAACGCUUGGAGUGUAACUUGAGUGGAGUACCUGUUUUCCUUUACUUCUCCCACCUAGACCUGAGUGCUUCUGGCCCUGAAACAUGUGCAAAUUCAUCACAUGCUGGAGAGCUACGAUGCACCUUCUCUGCCCCAGCUAGACCUCCUAUUUGCAUGGUGGUUUUUAGUUUCAAAGCUCUUUCAAUAGUAUUGCCUCAUUUAAUCCUCCUACUAAUUCUUCAAGGAGGGCUGCAGGAACUUGGAGUACUACAUGUAAUAACAUACUGGUCAUCACUCUUGGCAAAUAUUGAAAGCUUCACUUGGUCCCUGACACCUAAAGGAUAAAGAAGAGCUUGAUGAUCUGAUGUGAGGUUUUAAAAUUUGCAGAAUCUUGGCCAGGUGUGGUGGCUCACGCCUGUAAUCCUAGCACUUUGGGAGGCCGAGGCAGGCGGAUCACGAGGUCGGGAAAUCGAGACCAUCCUGGCUAACACGGUCUGGAGAUCAGAAGUCCAAAAAAUGGGUCUCACUGAGCUACAAUCAAGGUGUCAACAGGCUGUGUCCUUUCCUGGAGGCUCUGGGAGAGAAUCGGUAUCCUUGCUCUUUUCCCACUUCGAGAGGCUGCCACAUUCCUUGGCUGGUGGCUCCUUCCUCCAUCUUCAAAGCCAGCGACAGAUGGUGAAUGGAGUCCUUUCACGUGGCUCACUCUGCCCUUGUUCCUGCUGUCACAUCCCCCCUUCUCUGUCUGACUUUUCUGUCCCCUUCCUCCACUCUUGUCAUUACCUUGGGCCCAUCUGAAAAUCCUGGAUCGUCCCCCUAAUUAAAGUCAGUGGACUAGCAACUUUAAUUCCAUCUGCAACCUUAGUUCCCUUCUGUCAUGUAGCCUAACCUCAUCACGAGUGUCAGGGAUUUGCACGUGGACAUCCUCAGGGACCCCAUCGUGAGUGGUUGGGGGGAUGUGGCCAGAAAGAAGGCAGUGGCAGAAUGCCCAAGAACUCUGCAGCUGCGCUGAGGCAUCUGAGAGCCAAGGAGGAAACCUUCUUUGUGGUUAAGUAAGAAUGAACUAAUAUCCAUCUGGCAUUUGGCAUUUUACACUGCACUUUUUGUACAUUAUCUCAUUGGAUCUUAAAAACAGCUCAUUGUGAGAUGUGUUAAUAUUAUUCUUAUUUUAAGGUGGGGAAACCGAAAUCAAACAAUGUAGGUGACUUUUUUCAAGAUCACCCAGUGAGUGAUUCAGGACUUGGCCCAGGCUUUCUGG
This 1291-nucleotide long non-coding RNA is filed under the name Homo sapiens (human). Its description in RNAcentral is "HSALNT0392954". Lineage: Eukaryota; Metazoa; Chordata; Mammalia; Primates; Hominidae. The record is from RNAcentral.